UGAAAUAGGCGGAACUGGCAAUAGAAGAGACAACAAUGAAAGAACUACUGAAAAUUCUUCUAAAUGCUCGGAGGGUGAUGCAGCUUGUAUAACGUCCAAAAUACAGCAACAAUAAUAACAAAUGUGGGGUCUGGGGAGAGUAAUCUGUACACAGACCUUACCCUUACAUGGAGAGGUAGAGAGGCAACAUCCAAUAGAAGAAACCUAAUUAAAAUUCAUUAGAAACUCUGUUGGCAAUUAAUUUGAAUUCGAAAUGGGUUUGGUGAAAUUGUUAUUUAUUUGAAUUGGGUAUUGUUGCAAAU
Molecule: long non-coding RNA, 302 nt
Filed under: Nicotiana benthamiana
Lineage: Eukaryota; Viridiplantae; Streptophyta; Magnoliopsida; Solanales; Solanaceae
Description: long non-coding RNA (NBEN_LNC012408)
Source: RNAcentral